UGGGGAAUAUUGCACAAUGGGCGCAAGCCUGAUGCAGCCAUGCCGCGUGUAUGAAGAAGGCCUUCGGGUUGUAAAGUACUUUCAGCGGGGAGGAAGGGAGUAAAGUUAAUACCUUUGCUCAUUGACGUUACCCGCAGAAGAAGCACCGGCUAACUCCGUGCCAGCAGCCGCGGUAAUACGGAGGGUGCAAGCGUUAAUCGGAAUUACUGGGCGUAAAGCGCACGCAGGCGGUUUGUUAAGUCAGAUGUGAAAUCCCCGGGCUUAACCCGGGAAUUGCAUCUGAUACUGGUCAGCUAGAGUCUUGUAGAAGGGGGUAGAAUUCCAUGUGUAGCGGUGAAAUGCGGAGAGAUGUGGAGGAAUACCGGUGGCGAAGGCGGCCCCCUGGACAAAGACUGACGCUCAGGUGCGAAAGCGUGGGGAGCAAACAGG
This 429-nucleotide ribosomal RNA is filed under the name Chloroflexota bacterium. RNAcentral's name for it is "Chloroflexi bacterium partial 16S ribosomal RNA". It matches the Rfam family "Bacterial small subunit ribosomal RNA", at positions 355 to 776 of the family's 1533-position model. Lineage: Bacteria; Bacillati; Chloroflexota. The record is from RNAcentral.